GAUGAAGAACGUAGCGAAGUGCGAUAAGUAAUGUGAAUUGCAGAAUUCAGUGAAUCAUCGAAUCUUUGAACGCACAUUGCGCCCGCCAGUAUUCUGGCGGGCAUGCCUGUUCGAGCGUCAUUUCAACCAUCAAGCCCCAGGCUUGUGUUGGAGCCCUGCGGCUGCCGCAGCCUCCCAAAACCAGUGGCGGGCUCGCUAUCACACCGAGUGCAGUAGUUUACUCUUCGCUCAGGGCGUGUGGCGGGUGCUAGCCGUAAAACCCCCAACUUCUCAAGGUUGACCUCGGAUCAGGUAGGAAUACCCGCUGAACUUAAGCAUAUCAAUAAGCGGAGGA
This 334-nucleotide unclassified non-coding RNA is filed under the name soil metagenome. RNAcentral describes it as "partial contains 5.8S ribosomal RNA, internal transcribed spacer 2, and large subunit ribosomal RNA". The stretch from base 1 to 120 matches the Rfam family "5.8S ribosomal RNA", at positions 35 to 154 of the family's 154-position model. The record is from RNAcentral.